CCUACGGGUGGCAGCAGUGGGGAAUAUUGCACAAUGGGGGAAACCCUGAUGCAGCCACGCCGCGUGAAGGAAGACGGCUCUCUGAUUUUUAACCUCUUUUUUUAGUGAAGAAAAAUGACGGUAGCUCAGGAGCAAGCCACGGCUAACUACGUGCCAGCAGCCGCGGUAAUACGUAGGUGGCAAGCGUUGUCCGGAAUUACUGGGUUUAAAGGGAGCGCAGGCGGGAAGCUAAGUCAGCUGUGAAAACUACGGGCUUAACUUGUAGACUGCAGUUGAAACUGGUGUUCUAGAGUGAAGUAGAGGUAGGCGGAAUGCGGGGUGUAGCGGUGAAAUGCAUAGAUAUUCGGCAGAACACCGAUGGCGAAGGCAGCAUACUGGGCUUUAACUGACGCUGAGGCUCGAAAGUGUGGGGAGCAAACAGGAUUAGAUACCCUAGUAGUC
RNAcentral lists this ribosomal RNA (441 nucleotides) under uncultured bacterium. RNAcentral describes it as "partial 16S ribosomal RNA". It matches the Rfam family "Bacterial small subunit ribosomal RNA", at positions 338 to 795 of the family's 1533-position model. The record is from RNAcentral.